Long non-coding RNA from Pan troglodytes (chimpanzee), 635 nucleotides. RefSeq lists it as uncharacterized. The record is from RefSeq and is a predicted model, not a curated record. NCBI's taxonomy places the organism in Eukaryota, Metazoa, Chordata, Mammalia, Primates, Hominidae. The transcript has 4 exons.
CGAGCAGAGUCAGGGCUGCCAGCGCCGUAAGCAGCAAGGGGAAGGGCAGGUUGUAGAGCACCAGGCCCCCGCGAACGCCCAGCCGCGCCUGCGAGCCGUAAGGGUCGUGUGGUUGGCAAGUCAUUUAACUUUUCCAAACAAAUCUGCAAAAUGGAGAUAACCGCACCUGCCUCAUUGCGUUGUGAAGAAGAUGAAAUGUUUAGCCCGGUGCCCAACACCCAGUUCUUACUCUGUCAUCCAGGCUGGUGUGCAGUGGUGCAAUGCGGGCUUACUGCAGCCUUGAUCUCCAGGUCAAGUGAUCUCCCACCUCAGCCUCCGGAAUAGCUGGGACUACAGAGUCUUCUUUCUCCAGAACAAACACUCCGAGUUUUUCAGCUGUUCCCUGCAGGACAGGAUUCUGGGUUCUCACCAUGUGGAAGAAUCUCUUCUCUGUUUGCUUCUUACCAGCUCAACAAUGCCCCUCUGAAAGUAGGACUCUUGGAAAUGAACCUUGUUGGGAGUAAAGCUGAACCUUCACCUCUCCUUUCCAGGAUUCUACUCCAUUCAUAUGGCCUCACACUGAAUUAAUGUUUCUAGCAGCCACAUCACUUUGUUACCCAAUUGAUCUAGUAGUAAAGUCUUCCCAUCUCUUCAUG